RNAcentral lists this ribosomal RNA (372 nucleotides) under Triticum aestivum (bread wheat). RNAcentral's name for it is "partial small subunit ribosomal RNA". Lineage: Eukaryota; Viridiplantae; Streptophyta; Magnoliopsida; Poales; Poaceae. The record is from RNAcentral.
AUGCAUCGCCCAAAUGCAGAGCCCGGGGGUCAUCCUCCUUUACUAAAAAAAAUCUGCAUAUCUACAAAGAAAGUGAGCAAGAUUCAUAGAAUCGUCAGCACCAUCCAUUCUAAUCCAUCUUUGCUUCUCCUCUCCUUGCUGCAGUUGCGAGUAUGUCUCUGUAUAGAUGAGCAUGGCGACGACGGCAGUGGCGACCACCAAGCCACCUCCUCCAUCCUCACACCUCGCAUUCGCACCAGCCACCACGCCAACUCCCAACACCCACACCGUGCUCUCCGCUCCGGCUCCGUCGACUGCGCCCUCACGCUCCGGCUUCCAAGGCCGCGCCCGCAUCUUCAGCCCCAGAUCCCGGGACGAUGCCUUACCGCCUAG